This 3189-nucleotide long non-coding RNA is filed under the name Lynx pardinus (Iberian lynx). The record is from RNAcentral. Lineage: Eukaryota; Metazoa; Chordata; Mammalia; Carnivora; Felidae.
GGGACCUGGCACAAGGAAGGUGUGGCAGGGAGUGAGAGGCCCACAAAUUGCUGUUGGACGAUUGAAUGGCAGGCUGCUGAACAGACUCAGCUUCCAUCAAAACUGAUCUCGGCAGAUUUCUCUAGAAGGAUUUCUAGGUCGGCCCUGAAGACCCAAGGGGUGCCCCCACACAGGGGGCAGCUAGGCAGGCAGGUGAGAAGGGUUCAUCCAGUAAAAGAGCAGUCUCCUUAGUGUACUGACAUGCAUAACACUGGGAAAGUUACCUAAUGCCACUGGUAACAAGACCAAACAUCAACAGGCUUUCAAGAGACCAGAUGUCAGCCAAAAGCGGGAAACCCCAGAACUCCCAACUGCACAAGGGCAGAGCGGGAAACAUGUGGCCAGACAGCCAUUCAUAAGGCAGAAGAGCUGAGGUAUUAAGCUGAGCACAAGCCCUGCGUGAGGCCACAGUGACUGGCUACAGCGGGACAGUGGAGCGCCCCACAGGCACAGCAGAAGAGAAGCCUCGGUGUGGUGCUGGAUCCUGUGCAGGCUGAUGGGUCACAAGUCUACUCGGGGUGGUCCUAUGAUGGAUUGAGCUCGCAGGGUGUCAUCUGGGAGUGUUCAGGGAGAGCUGGAUACCCCAAGGGUCAUCCAGGCUCUGACAGCCUAAGACCAUGCAAAUCCUGGCCUGGGCCCCCCUGGAGGGGGGCACUGCAGUCAGUCCUGGAGACACACAUUGACACUUUGCCGCCAAAGACCUUUAUUGAGUCCCUGGUCCUUCUCAGGGACCACGUCCAGGGGUCCGGGCACAGCAACAAUCCAGGCAUCACCUUUCCCUGGCUCGGGCUCCUCCUGGGGGAGAUGGGAGGGCAGCCCUUACACCUGGCACCCCUGAGAGCCAUACACCUCAAGGAAGUCAUUGAGCUGGGCGCAGGCUUCCCGAUGGCGGGUGCUCCGGCACAGGCGUUCAGAGGGCAUCUCCUCAACCCAGCUAUUCGAGUCCAGCAGGUACUGGGGGCUGUAGGGGCAAAGGGACGGUCAGCAGGGGUGGGGAGGAUAAGCUGGUGGGAGAGGAGAGCAUGAAGCGCCUGGCUUCUGUGGGGGCAGGGUCUGGGUGCUGGGGAUCUGUUCCCUCACGAGGUGUGAGGAGAGCAAGAGACAGAGGGGCCCGGAGAACUCACUCUCCCUUGAGGUCAUAGGUAGCCCCGUCCAGACCCAGGAUCAAAUAUUCUUUCCCAGGUUCCAAGCGAAGGCGGCAGGAGGCUCGAACCAGGAAGUUUCGGGUCUGACCAGCAGUGGCCUUGGUGUCCUUGGCUGAGAGGAUAAUGUGCAUGAGGGUUGUCAGAGGAGAAGAGAAGGUACAGGACAAGCAGGGACCAGGGGCUAUGCACGGACCCGUUCAUUUUGCCCUCACUGUGCCUAAUGGGGAGAUACAACUGCUUUCCUAUUUAUGGACAAGCCCAGAGCUUCUAAGAUGCUGAGGGGCUUUGAGCUCAGACUCUGAACUUGAGCUAUUCCAAGCAGCCAGGCCGCAAACCCUGACCUCAGCUCCCUAGAUCCCCCCAGCCCCACCCGCCCAACUAUUCCCUUCAUACUGAAGUGCAGGACUUGGCUGAUUCUGGUCUCGAAGAGGCGAAAGGCAGCUCUGCCAUCUUCUCGGAGGACCUUAACCUGGAAGCCUACAAGGGAGUUCAAGAGACGGGAGCACAGGUUUGUCCCACCUGAGGCCGAGAGGAGCAGGCCCAGGCAGAGAGGCCUUGGGUGCGAGGGAAGACUGACCGUACUGCACUCGGGGGUAGUAGCAGGCAAACUUCAUUCUGUACCCGGCCUCUUCCUGCAGGCCCCGCUCCAGGGCACGACGCUGUCGAGGACACUUCCCUGGUGUCAGGGGGCCCAGAUGAGACAGUGUAGGCCCCAGCCUCGCUGUCUUCCCACCCCCUGCCCCAGGCCCUGGCUCUCACCCUCAGCACACUGGCAGACGUCAGCAGAGCACAAUGUGGACAAGAGUUUGCUCUUAGUGGGUGCCCCAUAGAAGAUAGAACAUUUGUGCUCUGGAGAAGAGAGAGGGCAGUUAGAAUGUAGGUCCCCCUCACUGCCUCCCCAGUCCCAAGGAGCCACAGGACACCCCUGCCACCCUGCAUUGCCCCAGGUCCCAAUGUCCCAUAUGGGGACACCUACUCCAAACCUCCCAAGUGUCUCCCAAGUCCUCACCGGGGUUGUAGUAAUCAUACAGGGUUGCACUGGCCGGCUGUACUAGCCCCACGGCCACCUCCUGCACAGCUCCAAAGCCCACGCACUCCCGGGAGGUGGGGACCUGGCACAGUGGGGAGGAGCGGUCAGGGGCGCACACCCUGGACCCUGAAGGCCACUGUGCUGCAUAUCCUUGACCUGUCUCUGGUACUCGUUGGUCUUAUCUCCAGUGUCCAUCACAUUCUAUUACCUUCCGGCUGCCAGAACUCUAAGAACUGCUCCCCAAGGUCUCUGCUGACCUCACUGCCAAACAGUGACCUCAUUCCAGUCUCCAGUGCCCCUGGCCCCUUGGCAGAGUCCCACAUAAUGGACAUAUUCUGCAUGAAACUCUCCAAGCUUAAGGUUAGUUUUUAAGGUUUUUAAGGUCAUCCCUGGUUCUGAGCUCGCCAUUCCUGACCAUCCCUCUUCUUCCUUCCCAGAGGCGCAUUCCCUGGCCCUGGCUCCCCCUGUCCCCUGCACUUCCCUGAGGAGGUCUCAGCCACUCCCUGGCUUUCACCAAACCCUUCCGGGCUGAUGAUUCCCACACUAAACAUUCAGCCUCAUUCUUGCAUUAGGAUUUUUGUGGGACCUAUAAGUUCUCCAAAUUCACUCUGCCUGCCCCCGAAGCCUACCCACACUCCUGACAGCCUUGCUUCCUCACCGAUGCAACUGGGCCCUCCUUUAUCUGUCACCCUAACGGCAGCUGCUGUCACUCUCCCAUGCUCCAUGACUCUGCAGCUCACAGCUUAGACCCAGACUCCUCUCCUCACGCACACACUGGUCCAGUUCAGCCCCUACCCUGCCCCUUUCCCUCUUGCGCUGGGCUGCCUAGGUCAACUCCUUGCCUAGAAAUCUUCCUGGCUCCUCAUCUUCGAUGGUGUUCAACCAAACUCCUCUGCCUGGCUUCCCAGGCUAACAAGGUCUGUCUUCCCUGACCCACACACACCUGGCUAAUGGUGUUACAGUAUCGACACAGCU